Molecule: long non-coding RNA, 428 nt
Filed under: Ananas comosus (pineapple)
Lineage: Eukaryota; Viridiplantae; Streptophyta; Magnoliopsida; Poales; Bromeliaceae
Description: long non-coding RNA (ACOM_LNC006588)
Source: RNAcentral
UGUUAGAUAUGGUCUUCUUUUUUUUUUUGGGUAAACUUCAUAUACUAUCCAUGUGGUUUCGCACUUUUCAUUUUAGUAUUCUAUAAUUUAAAGUGUAUCAAGUUAGCAUUUUAUGAUUUCAUUUUUAUCUUUUUAUCAGUUUCUCCGUUAAUAUUUCACUAAAUUAUAUACAAAAAAUUUCAGAUACUCCACCUAGGUUUAUCGAAUAUUCACUUUAGUACUCUUUAGUUUUAAUUUUGUCACUGAUUUAUCAAAAAAAAAUUAGUAGAAUCAAUAAUAAAAAAAUAAAAAUGAAAUCACGGGAUACUAAAUCGAUAUACUUUAAACCAUAUGAUACUAAAGUGAGAAAGUGUCAAAUUAUGCAGAUGAUAUUUGAAGUUUUUUCUUUUAUUUUUGAGAAGUUGCCCGAUGGCUGAAGUAAGAAGUAU